Molecule: long non-coding RNA, 1308 nt
Organism: Lepisosteus oculatus (spotted gar)
Lineage: Eukaryota; Metazoa; Chordata; Actinopteri; Semionotiformes; Lepisosteidae
Source: RefSeq, a predicted model, not a curated record
ACGGUUUUAGUAAAAGUGAAGUUAAAUUGCUUUUCCUGGUGUUAUGUUCAACUGUGUUUAAGUUAUAUAUAAAAUAACCCAAAAAACACGACAUGGCGUCAGAAGUGGUGCCGUUGAAGUAAAUGUGUGGAGGAAAUAAUUGCUACACACUAAUAAAAAAGAAAUGUGAGCUAGUGGUGAAUAGCUGUCUGUUAUGCCUAAUCCACUAGAUGGCGGUGUCCCUUAGAUCGCGGUGUCUUUUAGUUCCUGCCAGUUAAUUUCAGCAUUCUGCACAUGGGCAGUAGGGACUAGGAAGCAGUGAGUUACAGUUAAAAAAAACUUUUACACCCUAAAUGAGGUAUGAAAUCAAAAGUAUUAACGAGUAUAAAGGGGUAUUUCAUAGGAUUAUGACAAGAUCAGCAAGAUGGAUAUUAGAUUUUAACGGAGUGGACUGAGGCCGUAGCCAGUUUCUAGACAUCUAGUCGGGCUAGGAAUAUCUGUUUACUCAUUUGUAAGUAAUGAGUUUCACACGUUCCUUGUAUUUUAUGUUCCUUUAUUCUUUACAGAGACUUAUGUUUAGUGGUAAAAUGGGUAUAGCACUAUUUGUUAAGUGUAUGCAAUUGUAAGUAUUAUACUAAUUAUCGUUGAAAGUAAUGUAGUUCUCAGUGAGGGUAGAGCUGAGAGGUGACCUGCGCAGCCUGUGAGCGGAUUAUUUCUGCACGCGCUGCGUGGUGUGUUGUUUAAAUUUAAACUGUAAUGUAUUUUUUUUUUCAGUGUAGAUGCGAUUCUGUAACGGUUAGAUGGAAUGUUGAAACCGUAAAACUAAAAUGUGUUUUUUUAUGUUUUCCCUCAUGGUAGGAAGAGCCACUACUGUAUUUGCUGUAGGCAAAAAUAUCAUUAUAUGUCAUUUCUAUUGUUUUUUUUAUUAUUUUCCAAACCAACAAAACAGAUCAGACACCAUACUUACCUGGAAAUAAAGAACCCCAAAAGUAUAUUUGUGUCCUGUGCUGGUUAUUCUUUGUCAGGCUACAGAAAGAAAAAAGAAAACGCCGGUGAAAAUGGAGAAGUUACAGCCACCCACAGUCUCCAGUUCUCAGGACAAACUGAAAGAGGAGCUGAACAAAAUGGAAAGCAUGAAUGUGAUCAAGAAAGUUGAGGAACGAACUGAAUAGGUUUGUCGGACCAAGUUACAAAAUUACUGGAUGCAUCUUCUGAAUCUGAAGAUAUUUCACAUUGAUUCUGCAGGUAACAAGGUACUGUGCACAACAAAUUUCACCGUCAGGGCCUGCAGGGCUUCCUUCUCCUGAGGAGACUGAAUCUUGUGAGCCA